UGGGGAAUAUUGGACAAUGGGGGGAACCCUGAUCCAGCCAUGCCGCGUGUGUGAAGAAGGCCUUAUGGUUGUAAAGCACUUUAAGCGAGGAGGAGGGUACUGGUAUUAAUACUACCAGCUACUGGACGUUACUCGCAGAAUAAGCACCGGCUAACUCUGUGCCAGCAGCCGCGGUAAUACAGAGGGUGCGAGCGUUAAUCGGAUUUACUGGGCGUAAAGCGUGCGUAGGCGGCUAAUUGAGUCGGAUGUGAAAUCCCCGAGCUUAACUUGGGAAUUGCAUUCGAUACUGGUUAGCUAGAGUGUGGGAGAGGAUGGUAGAAUUCCAGGUGUAGCGGAGAAAUGCGUAGAGAUCUGGAGGAAUACCGGUGGCGAAGGCAGCCAUCUGGCCUAACACUGACGCUGAGGUACGAAAGCAUGGGGAGCAAACAGG
Molecule: ribosomal RNA, 430 nt
Filed under: Pseudomonadota bacterium
Lineage: Bacteria; Pseudomonadati; Pseudomonadota
Description: Proteobacteria bacterium partial 16S ribosomal RNA
Rfam family: Bacterial small subunit ribosomal RNA
Source: RNAcentral